Molecule: non-coding RNA, 87 nt
Organism: Arabidopsis lyrata subsp. lyrata
Lineage: Eukaryota; Viridiplantae; Streptophyta; Magnoliopsida; Brassicales; Brassicaceae
Source: Rfam
CGCUGGAGGCAGCGGUUCAUCGAUCAAUUCCUGUGAAUAUUUUUGUUUUCAAAAGCAUGAAUCGAUCGAUAAACCUCUGCAUCCAGC